This is a long non-coding RNA of Dreissena polymorpha, 450 nucleotides long. RefSeq lists it as uncharacterized. Lineage: Eukaryota; Metazoa; Mollusca; Bivalvia; Myida; Dreissenidae. The transcript has 4 exons. The record is from RefSeq and is a predicted model, not a curated record.
AGUCACCAGGAAAUCUACAGCCACCAGGUGGGCAGUCACUUUUACAGGCUACAUUGUCACAACCUGACCUACCAAAUGCUCUGCAUGAAUGCCUAGUAGAUUCGCAGUCAGAAAGAGCAACUCAACCAUCACAGUUAGUUCUUUCUGAAGAUGCUGCUGCAAGAGUUGAUCAACAGGUUGCUGCUGACAAUAGAUUGCUUUCACAAAGAUCCAAUUUAGCAGAUGCUGCAGAAUCCCAGCCUUUGACAUCACAGGCAUCUGCUCAGGCACCUGUAGCAAGAGAAACCUUCAACUCAAGAUUUCGUGAAGACUUCACGGUGAUCAAAGUAUUGGUAAAGAUGUGAGUCCAGAGGUUCUAGCCCUGGCGCCACUCGUCCAUCCAUACAUUGUGCGCUACUAUCAGGCAUGGAUGGAAACCCCACCCCAAGGCUGGCAGGCGGAACAAGACUC